RNAcentral lists this ribosomal RNA (468 nucleotides) under uncultured bacterium. RNAcentral's name for it is "partial 16S ribosomal RNA". It matches the Rfam family "Bacterial small subunit ribosomal RNA", at positions 28 to 507 of the family's 1533-position model. The record is from RNAcentral.
GACGAACGCUGGCGGCGUGCUUAACACAUGCAAGUCGAACGGAAAGGCCCUGCUUUUGUGGGGUGCUCGAGUGGCGAACGGGUGAGUAACACGUGAGUAACCUGCCCUUGACUUUGGGAUAACUUCAGGAAACUGGGGCUAAUACCGGCUAGGAGCUCCUGCUGCAUGGUGGGGGUUGGAAAGUUUCGGCGGUUGGGGAUGGACUCGCGGCUUAUCAGCUUGUUGGUGGGGUAGUGGCUUACCAAGGCUUUGACGGGUAGCCGGCCUGAGAGGGUGACCGGCCCCAUUGGGACUGAGAUACGGCCCAGACUCCUACGGGAGGCAGCAGUGGGGAAUAUUGCACAAUGGGCGGAAGCCUGAUGCAGCAACGCCGCGUGCGGGAUGACGGCCUUCGGGUUGUAAACCGCUUUCGCCUGUGACGAAGCGUGAGUGACGGUAAUGGGUAAAGAAGCACCGGCUAACUACGUG